Molecule: ribosomal RNA, 415 nt
Filed under: uncultured microorganism
Description: bacterial SSU rRNA
Rfam family: Archaeal small subunit ribosomal RNA
Source: RNAcentral
GUGCAGCAGGCGCGAAAACUUCACACUGUGCGAAAGCACGAUGAGGGAAUCCCAAGUGCUUGCACGUAAGUGUAAGCUGUUUCUCUGUCUAAAACGCAGAGAGAGUAAGGGCUGGGUAAGACGGGUGCCAGCCGCCGCGGUAAUACCUGCAGCUCAAGUGGUGACCGUUAUUAUUGGGCCUAAAAACGUCCGUAGCCGGUUUAAUAAAUGCCUGGGUAAAUUGUGUAGCUUAACUAUACGAAUUCCGGGUAGACUGUUAAACUUGAGACCGGGAGAAGUUAGAGGUACUCCUGGGGUAGAGGUGAAAAUUCUGUAAUCCUAGGGGGACCACCAGUGGCGAAGGCGUCUAACUAGAACGGGUCUGACGGUGAGGGACGAAGCCCUGGGGCGCAAACGGGAUUAGAUACCCCGUAGU